UGUCGAUGAAGAGCGCAGCCAACUGUGUGAAUUAAUGUGAACUGCAUAUCGCUUUGAACAUCGACAACUUGAACGCAUAUUGCGGCCACGGGUUAGCCUGUGGCCACGCCCGUCCGAGGGUCG
Molecule: ribosomal RNA, 123 nt
Filed under: Monorchis lewisi
Lineage: Eukaryota; Metazoa; Platyhelminthes; Trematoda; Plagiorchiida; Monorchiidae
Description: partial 5.8S ribosomal RNA
Rfam family: 5.8S ribosomal RNA
About the family: 5.8S ribosomal RNA (5.8S rRNA) is a component of the large subunit of the eukaryotic ribosome. It is transcribed by RNA polymerase I as part of the 45S precursor that also contains 18S and 28S rRNA.
Source: RNAcentral